Long non-coding RNA from Rosa rugosa (rugosa rose), 920 nucleotides. RefSeq lists it as uncharacterized. The record is from RefSeq and is a predicted model, not a curated record. NCBI's taxonomy places the organism in Eukaryota, Viridiplantae, Streptophyta, Magnoliopsida, Rosales, Rosaceae. The transcript is spliced from 4 exons.
GGUUUUUUGUCAUUUAUGUAAAUUUUGUUUUCAAAUGUUGUGACAUGUAUUGUUUGUUGGUUUUUAUCAUAGAAAUUGCAAAGUAUUUGCAGUAAAGGGAUGGUUUAGAUUGUGGAUAUAAAUGGUUGGAAUUGCAGCUUUGUGCAUCAAGGUUCGGUUUGACUGCAGCUAUUGUGGGUUAAUCCUUUAUCUGUGUUUGGUACUUUGUGUAGUCAAAUUUAAGUUAUUUAUGUAUUUGUUUUAGUUUGGUUUGAAGACGUGUUUGAAUCAAUUUUCUUUGUAACGUUUUGUGGUGUUGUUUGUUAUCUUUUGUUUCAUCAUUCAAAGAGCGAGUAAGCCUUUCAGAGCUGAAGUUCCUCUUAAAGUAUGUGAAUGAUACUGUAAUUUCUGACUGUUGUUAGCAUCGGGUUUGUGUUGCUUCUAAUAAUUGUUGUUUUGUUUAUGUUUUCUAGAUUCUAUGCAAAAAAGUGUUUAAUAAUAUCAUAGAGCUCUAGCUUUAUUAAAUCGUCAGUAAACUUAUCUUGCAGGAAAGACAGAGAGUUCAAGGUCUGCAUCAAGUUGGCGAACAAACCUGGCCUGUAUCAACCAAUUUAAUUUGUAGACGCCUUACUGUGUAAUUGGUAGGUUGUUCUUAAACCCUGAUUUGGUCCCCAAGAUGACCUUGGAUAUGGCUUGGAAUACUGGAGAGGCUUUUACCAAAGCCUAAGGCCAACCCAAUUUGAUUUCUCAGCAAGGGCUUUUUAUGAGCCGAUUCUGGUGAGAGAGUUUCUUGAGAAACAUUUUGGGUACAGAGAUUUGCUCAAGCCUCUGUUGGAUCGUGAUUGUCUUAAGGGAAAGCCAUGGCCUUUUGCUGAGUGGAAGUUUUGUAGCAUUUUCUUUAUUUUGUGGCACAUCAAUUUAUGCAGAACUGGCUAGGCCAA